This 344-nucleotide ribosomal RNA is filed under the name uncultured fungus. RNAcentral describes it as "SSU rRNA". It matches the Rfam family "Eukaryotic small subunit ribosomal RNA", at positions 292 to 636 of the family's 1831-position model. Lineage: Eukaryota; Fungi. The record is from RNAcentral.
GGUUCAUUCAAAUUUCUGCCCUAUCAACUUUCGAUUGUAAGAUAGAGGCUUACAAUGGUCUUAACGGGUAACGGGGAAUUAGGGUUCUAUUCCGGAGAGGGAGCCUGAGAAACGGCUACCACAUCCAAGGAAGGCAGCAGGCGCGCAAAUUACCCAAUGCUAACCAGCGAGGUAGUGACAAUAAAUACUGAUACGGGGCUCUUUCGGGUCUCGUAAUUGGAAUGAGUACAAUCUAAAUCCCUUAACGAGGAACAAUUGGAGGGCAAGUCUGGUGCCAGCAGCCGCGGUAAUUCCAGCUCCAAUAGCGUAUAUUAAAGUUGUUGCCGUUAAAAAGCUCGUAGUUG